GCAUUGGUGAGGAGUCUCACAACAGGACGAAACGGCCGUCCAGUGC
RNAcentral lists this non-coding RNA (46 nucleotides) under Schistosoma mansoni. Lineage: Eukaryota; Metazoa; Platyhelminthes; Trematoda; Strigeidida; Schistosomatidae. The record is from RNAcentral.